This 520-nucleotide ribosomal RNA is filed under the name uncultured Diversispora. RNAcentral's name for it is "bacterial SSU rRNA". It matches the Rfam family "Eukaryotic small subunit ribosomal RNA", at positions 569 to 1081 of the family's 1831-position model. Lineage: Eukaryota; Fungi; Glomeromycota; Glomeromycetes; Diversisporales; Diversisporaceae. The record is from RNAcentral.
AGCAGCCGCGGUAAUUCCAGCUCCAAUAGCGUAUAUUAAAGUUGUUGCAGUUAAAAAGCUCGUAGUUGAAUUUCGGGAGCCGCGGGUCGGUUGGGCUUAACUGUCCAUCACUGGCUCCGCGGGUCUCUUACCUUCUGGCGAGGUCAGAUGUCAUUUAUUUGGUGUCUGGCGGAACCAGGACCAUUACCUUGAAAAAAUUAGAGUGUUUAAAGCAGGCUUUAUCGUCUGAAUACAUUAGCAUGGAAUAAUAAAAUAGGACGGCUAAGGGUUCUAUUUUGUUGGUUUCUAGGACCACCGUAAUGAUUAAUAGGGAUAGUUGGGGGCAUUAGUAUUCAAUUGUCAGAGGUGAAAUUCUUGGAUUUAUUGAAGACUAACUACUGCGAAAGCAUUUGCCAAGGAUGUUUUCAUUAAUCAAGAACGAAAGUUAGGGGAUCGAAGACGAUCAGAUACCGUCGUAGUCUUAACCAUAAACUAUGCCGACUAGGGAUCGGAUGAUGUUAAUUUUUUAAUGUACUCAUUC